Pan troglodytes (chimpanzee) is the source of this 2802-nucleotide long non-coding RNA. The record is from Ensembl. Lineage: Eukaryota; Metazoa; Chordata; Mammalia; Primates; Hominidae.
AUGUUCAGUCUUCUGAGUGUUUUGUUGAUUAAUUUGUGUUACUACUCUUUUAUUAGGAUUUAUGUUGUCUGGUGUAUUGUAGCAUCUGUAUUUCUGUCACCAUUGAAAAUCAGUUAGAAAACAUCAGUAACUUAUUUUGUUCACUUGGAAAAGCUUUCCAAGUUAACAUUCCUCUACAACUAUCAUGGUUAACAGAAGUAAUAGAAAGAGCAUGGACUUUAGAAUCAGAAGAUGUUAGAUUGUACAACACUUUUCUGUGUUCAUGAAGAAAAAAAUAGAAUAAAGACAAAAAAUAAUAAUACAAAACAACAGAAAAACAAAGAAAAGAUAAUUAAAAAACACUUUCACGUGUAUUAUUAUUUAAAGUGUAAAGUGCUUAUUAAAGUGACAAAAAUGUAAAUAAGAUAAAAUAUAUCAUUUUAGAGUUUUUACUUUUGGAAUUUUUUGCAAAUGAAAGCCCUCAAUUAAUGUCUUUUAUUUUUAGUUGCCUGUGCCCCUCGAGUCUGUAAAAGAGAUGCUUAAGUCAGUCAUGCAGGAACUCGAAGCCUAUAGUGAAGGAGGUCCUCUCUAUACAAAUGGUUCUUUGCGAAAUGCAGAUUCAGAAAUAAAACAUUCUACACCGUCUCAUACCAGAUAUUCACUAUCACCAAGUAAAAGUUACAAGUAUUCUCCCAAAACACCACCUCGAUGGGCAGAAGAUCAGAAUUCUUUACUGAAAAUGAUUUGCCAACAAGUAGAGGCCAUUAAGGUAAGUCACUUAAUUUCUCUAGCUGUACUUUUUAUGCCAAGAUUCCUUCCCUGGCCACUCUCUCACUGUUUUUCUGAAGCUGGUCAGAAUGUCCCCUUGCCAUCCAAAUAGUAUGGCAAGGGGACAUUUUGGUCUUUUUUUUUUUUUAAGACAGGGUCUUGUUCUGUUGUGCAGGCUGGAGUACAGUGGUAUGAUCACAGCUUACUGUGGCUUCGACCUCCUAGCUCAAGAGAGGCUCUUGGCUCAGCCUGCCACGAAGCCAGGACUACAGACAGUCACACGCCACCAGGCCCAGCUAAUUGUUGUAUUUUUUGUAGAGAUGGGAUUUUGCCAUGUUGCCCAGGGUGGCCUUGAACUCCUGGCUCAAAGAAUCCUCCUGCUUCAGCCACCCAAAGUGCUGGGAUUGCAGGUGUGAGCCACUGUGCCCAGCCUACAUACCUCGGUCUUGACCCUUUACCAUAUUUUGUUUUGUUUUGUUUUGUUUUGAGAUGGAGUCUCACUCUGUUGCCCAGUCUGGAGUGCAAUGGUGCGAUCUUGGCUCACUGCAACCUCCACCUCCCAGGUUCAAGCGACUCUCCUGCCUCAGCCUCCCGAGUAGCUGGGAUUACAGGCACCUGCCACCAGGCCCAGCUAAUUUUUGUAUUUUUAGUAGACACAGAGUUUCACCAUGUUGGCCAAGCUGUUUUUGAACUUCUGACCUCAGGUGAUCUGCCCGCCUUGGCCUCCCAAAGUGCUGAGAUUACAGGUGUAAACCCCCGCACCCAGCCCUUUACCGUAUUUUUGAAAGUACUUUAUGUGUCUCUCUCCUCAUCUUCCACAAAAUUUGAGACCUUCAAAGGUAGAAACUGUUUUAUUUAAAAUAUAAGAGUUCGUGGCACAGAGAAGUUUCCUGAGUGAUUGAACUGCUACAAUGUACUAAUCAUACUCUGGUCUAUGAGUUCAUUCCCAGAUUAGCUGUGGAUCACAUGUGUUUCAAAUGUAUAGCUAGGAAUUGAAAAGUGGUCUGAGCUUCAGAAAGUCUUACUAUAUUUUAAUACUUCCAUAUGAAUUUGACUUAAUUAUGUAAGGAAAUAGUUAUGUAUAUAUAUCUUAUUUUAACAAUAGGGUUCAAAGGAGCUUGACUUUUUUGGAAUUGGAAAUAAAAGUAGGUUCUUUCAUGUUUAUCAGGCAAGAACUAAAUUACUCAUACUGCUAAGGUUACAUCAAGGAUAUGCUGAUGUGUGGCGAUUAUUACAGUGUGAUCAGCAGUAUUUGCAACUUAAGAGAAUACUGUUCGGUGGGGAAGACAUUUUUGAAUUUGCACAAAAGUUUUGAAUGUUAAUUCUGUGUAGUCGUGGCCUAUGACAAUUACAUACAAUUUUGACUUAACAUACAGGUUUCCGGCUCCCAACAUUGUAUUCUGUGGAAGUAUCGUGGAGCACUAAUCCAUGAGCUUGAAAAGCUUGGUACUAGUACUGACUCUGCCAUUAAUUAAUGAUCUUGGGCCAGUCACUUCCAUUGUGACUGUUUGGCUUCUUAUCUUUAAAAUGAGAGAAUUAUUGAAGCCAGUUCUCAUCACACUGAAUGUUAAAAAUUACAGUUACAGCAGUGAUUGCAAAUUCAAAGCUCUGGUGCGGAUACCAACAGUGACCAUAAAGUUUUCUAGGUGAUUCCACUAGUUUCUUAUUGGAUGUGUAUGUGUAGCAUCUGGACUAGGCACUGUAGAUGGAUGAGUGGGGGAAAUUUUAUUUAGCUUGAAAAUUGAGAUAGUUUUGGACCUCAUGGUUAGGUCUUUCUGGGAAAUUUUUAAUUGAAACACUUCUAGAAAAAGAAAGCAGACAUGCUAGAUCUGUCCCUGACCUCACUUGUUAGAACUGAUCGGAUUCCUGGGCUGAUACAGAGAAGUUUGAAACUUUUCAAAAUUUACCUGUUUUCUGAUACCACUACAGUUUCUUUGGAAAAAGAAUUUCCUGUUAAGUGUCUGUUUUGUAAGGGGACAUUUUGUAGGUUCUAGGGUUGGGUGGAUGGGUAUGGUGCUGUCAUUUAGUUGUCUUCAGCGGAGAUUCAGCGUAGCC